GGGUCGGCCCGCCUAUUAGUUUGUGGGGCAACGGUCUGUAAAAUCGUCCUUUUUUGGUUGCAGGUGCAAAUCCUGCCCGACCCA
Molecule: transfer RNA, 84 nt
Filed under: Trichocoleus sp. FACHB-40
Lineage: Bacteria; Bacillati; Cyanobacteriota; Cyanophyceae; Leptolyngbyales; Trichocoleusaceae
Also listed under: 3 other names
Description: tRNA-Tyr
Source: RNAcentral